AUGACCACAGACAGGAAUGAUUUCCUGUGGCGCUCUGUAGUGCAUCUGGGUGAGAGGAGUCUUCUGCUGAAGGUGCUCCUCUGCUGGGCCAGUGUGUCGCAGAGAGGGUGAGAGACAUUGUUCAAGAUGGACUGAAGCCUGGACAGCAUCCUCCUCUCUGCCAUGGUCGUCAGGGUAUCACUGAGGCAUUGGCAACUGAGAAAAGCUCUCAGAGUGGGCCAAUAAAUUCAGCAGACAGUAAAGCAGGUGAGGUGCUGGAGCAGCAGGCAGAGCCAGCUGAUGACCCUCAACCCCCAUCAAAGAAAGCAAUGGACUCUUGUGCUCUGGCUGAUCUCCUGGGGAACACAUAUACUCCAGUAGCAGUUUCCAGAACCACAAAUGACAAGGCAUUCGAUGAGGUGAUGAGGUACAAAGAGGUAAAACCACUGCCACUCUUCAUCAAUCCACUCAACUGGUAGAGGGAACAUGAGGGGGAAUACCCCCUUUUGUCAUGCCAAGCUAAACGAUACUUCUGUAUCCCAGGAACCAGUGUACCAGCUGAGAGGAUCUUCUCAACAGCUGGUGAUAUUGUCACAGCCCAGAGAAGUGCACUUUUGCCUGAACAUGUGGACCAACUGAUUUUCUACAAAAAUCUAAAUGUGCACAUCUAGUAUGUAACCAGAAAUGAAGUCACUUGGUUCUGAUGUGUUUGUUGUUCAAUAAUGUUAUGUGAGCUAUAUCACAGUUUCCAAGAGGGAAGAAAUAUAAUUUAAGUUUACAUGCACUUUACUUCAAUGUUAAUACAGUACUGUCAGGUUUUUUUAAACUUUUGUACUGUUUUUAGUAUUAUUGUGCUAAUGCUUUAUUUUCAGAUGUGUUAUUGCUCAACGAUGCUAUGAGUUAUAGCAUGGCUGUUAAUAUGGGCAUGAAAAUAAAUAAUUAUUUUUAAAAAAUCAACAGGUACUCGAAUUAUUUGUGUGAUUCUACUUAUUACUGAAUCGAUAUUGAAGCAUUUAAAUCAAUAUCGAAUCGAAAUCGAAUUGUGACCUAAAGAAUCGAAAUCGAAUCUAAUCAUGAGGUUCUUAACAAUACCCAGCCCUACUAACCAGGGCACAACAGGUGAACACAAAUGCGGGAGAAGUAACGGAAAUGCUGCAUUCAAGUGCUGCCAGGAUAAUCGGAAAAAUUAUUUCAAACUUCAAAUGAAUAUAACCUAUACAUUUUGCUUAGAUGUAACGUGUAAUACAAUAUUUAAGUUAAUU
This 1241-nucleotide long non-coding RNA is filed under the name Dicentrarchus labrax (European seabass). RNAcentral's name for it is "lncRNA (ENSDLAG00005026537.1)". Lineage: Eukaryota; Metazoa; Chordata; Actinopteri; Moronidae. The record is from RNAcentral.